CGCUGGCGGCAUGCCUAAUACAUGCAAGUCGAGCGAAUGAUGAAGAAGCUUGCUUCUCUGAUUAGCGGCGGACGGGUGAGUAACACGUGGGCAACCUACCCUAUAGAUUGGGAUAACACAGGGAAACCUGUGCUGAUACCGAAUAAUACAUUUCUUUCAUGAGAAGAUGUUGAAAGAUGGUUUCGGCUAUCACUAUAGGAUGGGCCCGCGGCGCAUUAGCUAGUUGGUGAGGUAAUGGCUCACCAAGGCAACGAUGCGUAGCCGACCUGAGAGGGUGAUCGGCCACACUGGGACUGAGACACGGCCCAGACUCCUACGGGAGGCAGCAGUAGGGAAUCUUCCACAAUGGGCGAAAGCCUGAUGGAGCAAUGCCGCGUGAGUGAUGAAGGAUUUCGGUUCGUAAAACUCUGUUGUAAGGGAAGAACAAGUAGCGUAGUAACUGGCGUUACCUUGACGGUACCUUAUUAGAAAGCCACGGCUAACUACGUGCCAGCAGCAGC
RNAcentral lists this ribosomal RNA (500 nucleotides) under uncultured bacterium. RNAcentral describes it as "bacterial SSU rRNA". It matches the Rfam family "Bacterial small subunit ribosomal RNA", at positions 34 to 518 of the family's 1533-position model. The record is from RNAcentral.